Molecule: ribosomal RNA, 483 nt
Filed under: uncultured bacterium
Lineage: Bacteria
Description: partial 16S ribosomal RNA
Rfam family: Bacterial small subunit ribosomal RNA
Source: RNAcentral
AUUGAACGCUGGCGGCAUGCUUUACACAUGCAAGUCGAACGGCAGCGCGGGCUUCGGCCUGGCGGCGAGUGGCGAACGGGUGAGUAAUGCAUCGGAACGUGCCCAGUAGUGGGGGAUAGCCCGGCGAAAGCCGGAUUAAUACCGCAUACGACCUGAGGGUGAAAGCGGGGGACCGAAAGGCCUCGCGCUAUUGGAGCGGCCGAUGUCGGAUUAGCUAGUUGGUGGGGUAAAGGCUUACCAAGGCGACGAUCCGUAGCUGGUCUGAGAGGACGACCAGCCACACUGGAACUGAGACACGGCCCAGACUCCUACGGGAGGCAGCAGUGGGGAAUUUUGGACAAUGGGGGCAACCCUGAUCCAGCCAUGCCGCGUGCGGGAAGAAGGCCUUCGGGUUGUAAACCGCUUUUGUUCGGGAAGAAAUCCUCUGGGCUAAUACCCCGGGGGGAUGACGGUACCGGAAGAAUAAGCACCGGCUAACUACGU